Molecule: unclassified non-coding RNA, 128 nt
Filed under: soil metagenome
Description: partial internal transcribed spacer 1
Source: RNAcentral
CGAAUGGGCCCAAAGACUCUUAAAACCUACCGUGCUCCCCUACGUGGAAAACAGGAAAGCCCUCCGGGGCAUAGGAAAUCUGAGAAGUUGAGAACUGCGCCCCGGCGCAUGACUAAAACAAAAAAUUA